This 73-nucleotide transfer RNA is filed under the name Apaloderma vittatum (bar-tailed trogon). It matches the Rfam family "tRNA". Rfam says of the family: Transfer RNA (tRNA) molecules are approximately 80 nucleotides in length. Their secondary structure includes four short double-helical elements and three loops (D, anti-codon, and T loops). Lineage: Eukaryota; Metazoa; Chordata; Aves; Trogoniformes; Trogonidae. The record is from Rfam by way of RNAcentral.
GAACUGUUAGCUCAGUUGGUUGAGCUUGGUGUUGAUAACAUCAAGGCUGCAGGUUUGAUCCCUGUUCGGUCCC